AGAAAGCAACAGCGAGCUUUAACACAUUGAGGAGUUUCAACUCUCAGAUUGCAGCAGAUUCAAUAAUAGUGGCUCGCUGUGGCUCCAUUAGAUGAAAGGGUUGCUGUUUCCUUCAGGAAAAUUAUGAUUUAGAUGUUACAAAGACAAGUCAGGUUAAGCCAUACAUGAUCUGUGUAAGCGACUGCUCAUAUACUCUGAAAACAUUUUUU
Molecule: long non-coding RNA, 209 nt
Filed under: Setaria viridis
Lineage: Eukaryota; Viridiplantae; Streptophyta; Magnoliopsida; Poales; Poaceae
Description: long non-coding RNA (SVIR_LNC009941)
Source: RNAcentral